UGAACAACACAUUGCCAUGUGUUUAUAAGUCUUUAUAAAGCAGAUACCAAGAAAAAUCUUUAAGGAAGAGUAUAGAGGAGCUCUACCCUUUAGCUUAUCAAAUUCUCUAAGCUGUAAUCCUUCCUCCAUAAUGUGGGAAUAAUAAUACUUCAGAGGCUCAUUGUGAAAAUUAAAUGAGACACCAUCUGGUGAAGGUCUGACACAAUGCUCAACACAUUGCAGUUGUUCAAUAAACCAUUUUUUAUAAGAAAAAUAAAGGGCUUAGGGCUUUGUUUUGCCACUGUAAAAUAUAAGACCUGCUGUGCCAUCUUUGAGGAUAUUGGCCCUUCGCAACUAUACAGCAUUUAGGUUUAAUUAUGGCAUCACAUUAAAAAAAAGUUUUAUCAUUAUUUGAAUGUUAUCUGAAUCAUCAUCUGAUCACUUUUUAAAUGUUAUCUUAGUUUUGCUCUUAUUUUAAUAGAUUAUAGGUUCCAUGUGUUAAUGUUUGGACACGAUGUUCUGUGCUCCAGUCACCCUGGUUAGAAUUCAGAAUUAUUAUCCUAAUUUAGGGAAAUAAGAGACCUUAUCAGUCUUGAGACCGAAGCAAAUUUCUUAAGGUCACUAGAUUUGUUUCCUUAGCCAUAAACUAGGGGUAAGAAUACAUUGUUCACAGAGUUGUUAUGUUAUAUAAGAAUCCCACAAAUGCAAAUGUUUUUCUCUUCUAUUUCAAUAGUCCCCUGCAGGAAGCUGCUGAUGAAAGACCAGUCCCUAACUGGAGAUUCCCUGUAUGGUCAGAUGGAUGGGCUAUUGGAAGGCCCUGUCAAGCUUUAUGUGCGGAGUCCCCUCCUUGUCUCUCAGGAAACUUCCUGAAUAUGCGAAGAGACUGGUCAUCUUUACACGGUUGCAAUGUGAUCACCCAGCAAUGACCAGUCAUAAUUACACAUCCCACCAGUACAUAGGAGGAAACUGUCCUUGAAGCUCAAUGCUAACUUUGCUGACCAAGAAUCUAAAAAGGUGACUUUCAUGACCAGUGCAACUAAAUGUGCAUGGUGUCAUUUUGACCUGACCAGCUUACCUCAUCUAAUGACCACAGUCCUCACUGGUCCUCUGCUAUGACUUCUCCAACAAAAUAAAUCAUAUUUAAUUUCACACUUCUCUGAA
Non-coding RNA from Ictidomys tridecemlineatus (thirteen-lined ground squirrel), 1140 nucleotides. Lineage: Eukaryota; Metazoa; Chordata; Mammalia; Rodentia; Sciuridae. The record is from RefSeq and is a predicted model, not a curated record.